ACGACGCUGGCGGCGUGCUUAACACAUGCAAGUCGAACGGAAAGGCCCCCACCUUGGUGGGGGUGCUCGAGUGGCGAACGGGUGAGUAACACGUGGGUGAUCUGCCCUGCACUUCGGGAUAAGCUUGGGAAACUGGGUCUAAUACCGGAUAGGACCAUGGUUUAGUGUCUCAUGGUGGAAAAAUUAUUGUUUUGGUGCAGGAUGAGCUCGCGGCCUAUCAGCUUGUUGGUGGGGUAAUGGCCUACCAAGGCGUCGACGGGUAGCCGGCCUGAGAGGGUGGACGGCCACAUUGGGACUGAGAUACGGCCCAGACUCCUACGGGAGGCAGCAGUGGGGAAUAUUGCACAAUGGGCGCAAGCCUGAUGCAGCGACGCCGCGUGGGGGAUGACGGCCUUCGGGUUGUAAACUCCUUUCGUUAGGGACGAAGCCGCACCUUUUUGGGUGUGGUGACGGUACCUUUGUUAAGAAGCACCGGCUAACUAC
RNAcentral lists this ribosomal RNA (483 nucleotides) under uncultured bacterium. RNAcentral describes it as "bacterial SSU rRNA". It matches the Rfam family "Bacterial small subunit ribosomal RNA", at positions 33 to 504 of the family's 1533-position model. The record is from RNAcentral.